GACGAACGCUGGCGGCGUGCUUAACACAUGCAAGUCGAACGGAAAGGCCCUGCUUUUGUGGGGUGCUCGAGUGGCGAACGGGUGAGUAACACGUGAGUAACCUGCCCUUGACUUUGGGAUAACUUCAGGAAACUGGGGCUAAUACCGGAUAGGAGCUCCUGCUGCAUGGUGGGGGUUGGAAAGUUUCGGCGGUUGGGGUUGGACUCGCGGCUUAUCAGCUUGUUGGUGGGGUAGUGGCUUACCAAGGCUUUGACGGGUAGCCGGCCUGAGAGGGUGACCGGCUCCAGAGGCAUAGGGGAGCGCGCAGUACCGCAUCGGGAGGAAGGGGCGGGAAAUUGGCGGAGAGGGGCGGCGUCAGGGAGGAAAAACGCCGGGUCGGGGAUGACGGCUUUGGGGGUGGAACCCGUUUGUGCGUGACGGGACGCGUGGGGACGGUACCUGGUAAAAAAGCCACGGCUAACUUCGUG
RNAcentral lists this ribosomal RNA (467 nucleotides) under uncultured bacterium. RNAcentral's name for it is "partial 16S ribosomal RNA". It matches the Rfam family "Bacterial small subunit ribosomal RNA", at positions 28 to 507 of the family's 1533-position model. The record is from RNAcentral.